This is a non-coding RNA of Echinostoma caproni, 82 nucleotides long. The record is from Rfam. NCBI's taxonomy places the organism in Eukaryota, Metazoa, Platyhelminthes, Trematoda, Plagiorchiida, Echinostomatidae.
GACCUCGUAGCUCAGCUGGUAGAGCGUGCGCGUACAGAGCGUAGGCGGUGUCCAUGCGUGGGUUCGAAUUCCACCGAGACUA